GACGGGGGGGGCAAGUGUUCUUCGGAAUGACUGGGCGUAAAGGGCACGUAGGCGGUGAAUCGGGUUGAAAGUGAAAGUCGCCAAAAAGUGGCGGAAUGCUCUCGAAACCAAUUCACUUGAGUGAGACAGAGGAGAGUGGAAUUCCCGGUGUAGCGGUGAAAUGCGCAGAUAUCGGGAGGAACACCAAUGGCGAAGGCAGCUCGCUGGGACGUUACUGACGCUGAGACGCGAAAGCGUGGGGAGCAAACAGG
RNAcentral lists this ribosomal RNA (251 nucleotides) under uncultured bacterium. Its description in RNAcentral is "partial 16S ribosomal RNA". It matches the Rfam family "Bacterial small subunit ribosomal RNA", at positions 524 to 776 of the family's 1533-position model. The record is from RNAcentral.